Molecule: ribosomal RNA, 529 nt
Filed under: Penicillium glabrum
Lineage: Eukaryota; Fungi; Ascomycota; Eurotiomycetes; Eurotiales; Aspergillaceae
Description: SSU rRNA
Rfam family: Bacterial small subunit ribosomal RNA
Source: RNAcentral
GCCGAAAGGCUGAACCAGUAACUUGGAAGAAUGUAACUGUAUUUGUAUAAAUACAAUAGCGAUUAAUUCGCAUAAAAUUCUAAAUAGAUUGUAUAUAAUGACAUAAUCUAUUUAUAAGUCUUGACCAAACUACGUGCCAGCAGUCGCGGUAAUACGUAGGAGGCUAGUGUUAGUUAUCUUUAUUGGGUUUAAAGGGUAUGUAGACGGUAAAUUAAACUUUAAAAAAGUACUUUUUUACUAGAGUUAUAUGUGAGAAGGAAGAAUUCUUGGAGUAGAGAUAGAAUUUGUUGAUACCAAGAGGACUGUCAACGGCGAAGGCGUCCUUCUAUGUAAUAACUGACGUUGAGAGACGAAGGCUUGGGUAGCAAACAGGAUUAGAUACCCUAAUAGUCCAAGCAGACAAUGAUGAAUGUCAUACAUUAGAUAAUUUUAAUGUAUAAACGAAAGUGUAAGCAUUCCACCUCAAGAGUACUAUGGCAACAUAUAAACUGAAAUCAUUAGACCGUUUCUGAAACCAGUAGUGAAGUAU